AGCCGAAACGCCCCAGAUCGGGGCGUCGCGGGGCGGCUGGCCUCCCCCGCCUGAUGAUGGCAGGCCGAG
This 69-nucleotide non-coding RNA is filed under the name Paenibacillus dendritiformis. The record is from RNAcentral. Lineage: Bacteria; Bacillati; Bacillota; Bacilli; Caryophanales; Paenibacillaceae.